CCUACGGGGUGCUGCAGUGGGGGAUAUUGGACAAUGGGGGGAACCCUGAUCCAGCGACGCCGCGUGAGUGAAGAAGUAUUUCGGUAUGUAAAGCUCUGUCAGCAGGGAAGAAAGAAAUGACGGUACCUGACCAAGAAGCUCCGGCUAACUACGUGCCAGCAGCCGCGGUAAUACGUAGGGGGCAAGCGUUAUCCGGAAUUACUGGUUGUAAAGGGUGCGUAGACGGUUAAGUAAGUCUGGGGUGAAAGGCCGGGGCUGAACCCCGGGAGUGCUCUGGAUACUAUUUGACUUGAGUGCAGGAGAGGUAAGCGGAAUGCGUGGUGUAGCGGUGAAAUGCAUAGAUAUUAGGAAGAACACCGGUGGCGAAGGCAGCUUACUGGACUGUAACUGACGUUGAGGCACGAAAGCGUGGGGAGCAAACAGGAUUAGAUACCCCGGUAGUC
This 443-nucleotide ribosomal RNA is filed under the name uncultured bacterium. RNAcentral describes it as "partial 16S ribosomal RNA". It matches the Rfam family "Bacterial small subunit ribosomal RNA", at positions 338 to 795 of the family's 1533-position model. The record is from RNAcentral.